CUCACCUUAGCUCAGUUGGAAGAGCAUAGGACUGUAAAUCCUAGGGUCUCCGGUUCGAUCCCGGAAGGUGAGA
This 73-nucleotide transfer RNA is filed under the name Kuraishia capsulata CBS 1993. Its description in RNAcentral is "tRNA-Tyr (GTA) (tRNA-Tyr-GTA-1-1)". It matches the Rfam family "tRNA". Rfam says of the family: Transfer RNA (tRNA) molecules are approximately 80 nucleotides in length. Their secondary structure includes four short double-helical elements and three loops (D, anti-codon, and T loops). Lineage: Eukaryota; Fungi; Ascomycota; Pichiomycetes; Pichiales; Pichiaceae. The record is from RNAcentral.